UACGGAGGAUCCGAGCGUUAUCCGGAUUUAUUGGGUUUAAAGGGUGCGUAGGCGGUCCGUUAAGUCAGCGGUAAAAUUGCGGGGCUCAACCCCGGCCCGCCGUUGAAACUGGCUGGCUUGAGUUGGGGAAAGGCAGGCGGAAUGCGCGGUGUAGCGGUGAAAUGCAUAGAUAUCACGCAGAACUCCGAUUGCGAAGGCAGCCUGCUGGACUGUAACUGACGCUGAUGCUCGAAAGCGCGGGUAUCGAACAGG
This 252-nucleotide ribosomal RNA is filed under the name uncultured Bacteroidales bacterium. RNAcentral describes it as "partial 16S ribosomal RNA". It matches the Rfam family "Bacterial small subunit ribosomal RNA", at positions 524 to 776 of the family's 1533-position model. The record is from RNAcentral. Lineage: Bacteria; Pseudomonadati; Bacteroidota; Bacteroidia; Bacteroidales.